This 741-nucleotide ribosomal RNA is filed under the name uncultured archaeon. RNAcentral describes it as "bacterial SSU rRNA". It matches the Rfam family "Archaeal small subunit ribosomal RNA", at positions 1 to 746 of the family's 1478-position model. The record is from RNAcentral.
UUCCGGUUGAUCCUGCCGGAGGACAUUGCUAUUGGGAUUCGAUUUAGCCAUGCUAGUCGAGCGAGUUCAGUCUCGCGGCGCAUAGCUCAGUAACACGUGGCCAAGCUCCCCUUCAGUCGGCAAUACCCUCGGGAAACUGAGGCUAACGGCCGAUACACGACGCCAGCUGGAAUGCGGCGUCGACGAAAGAGAUCGCUGAAGGAUGCGGCUGCGGCCGAUUAGGUAGACGGUGGGGUAACGGCCCACCGUGCCAGUAAUCGGUACGGGUGAUGAGAGUCGGAGCCCGGAGACGGAAUCUGAGACAAGAUUCCGGGCCCUACGGGGCGCAGCAGGCGCGAAACCUUUACACUGCACGGAAGUGUGAUAGGGGAAUCCCAAGUGCGAGGGCAUAUUAGCCCUCGCUUUUCUCAACUCUAAGGUGGUUGACGAAUAAGAGCUGGGCAAGACCGGUGCCAGCCGCCGCGGUAAUACCGGUAGCUCAAGUGACGUCCCAUAUUAUUGGGCCUAAAGCGUCCGUAGCUGGCCGGCCAAGUCUAUCGGGAAAUCCACCCGCCCAACGGGUGGGCGUCCGGUAGAAACUGGCUGGCUUGGAACCGGAAGGCUCAGAGAGUACGUCCGGGGUAGGAGUGAAAUCCCGUAAUCCCGGACGGACUACCGAUGGCGAAAGCACUCUGAGAAGACGGCUUCGACAGUGAGGGACGAAAGCUCGGGUCUCAAACCGGAUUAGAUACCCGGGUAGUC